GCGGGCAUGGCGGAAUGGCAGACGCAGCAGACUCAAAAUCUGCCGUAGGUGACUAUGUGUGGGUUCAAGUCCCACUGCCCGCA
This 83-nucleotide transfer RNA is filed under the name Lachnospiraceae bacterium. RNAcentral's name for it is "tRNA-Leu". It matches the Rfam family "tRNA". From Rfam's summary of the family: Transfer RNA (tRNA) molecules are approximately 80 nucleotides in length. Their secondary structure includes four short double-helical elements and three loops (D, anti-codon, and T loops). Lineage: Bacteria; Bacillati; Bacillota; Clostridia; Lachnospirales; Lachnospiraceae. The record is from RNAcentral.